GUGCUCGCUUCAGCAGCACACAUACUAAAAUUGGAAUGAUAGAGAUUAGCACAGCCCCUGCACAAGGAUGACAUGCAAAUUCGUGAAGCAUUCCAUAUUUAU
Acinonyx jubatus (cheetah) is the source of this 102-nucleotide small nuclear RNA. The record is from RefSeq and is a predicted model, not a curated record. NCBI's taxonomy places the organism in Eukaryota, Metazoa, Chordata, Mammalia, Carnivora, Felidae.